AAAUGAAAACUAAUUUUUAAACAAUGCUGUUUAUAAUUAAAGUAACGAAAAUAAUUUUAAAUUUAUCUUUAUAAGUAUUUAAUAAAGAAAAUAAUAAAAAAAAAUAAUAGUUAAUAAGUACUGCAGGGGAAAGUUGAAAUAAUUGAAAAAUUAAUUUGAUAAAAGUAUAUAUUCAAAUUAGUGCCUUGUGUUUCAGAAAACUUAAACAUAAACUUUUUAUAAAAGAUGUCCCGAAAUUUAACGAGCUAAUUAGUCAUUGAUAGUUAACGUAGCAUAGUUAUUAUAAAUGUCUCAUUAGAAGUGAAAUUCUAUACGCGUUAAUAAGUAUCUGGUUUUUUGAUAAAUAAAUUUAAUUUAGCCUUUAGCUUCACGCAUUAGACUAAAGCGUAAAAAUAGGAGGGAAAAGCUUCUUAUUUAACAAUAAACUUAUUAUGAAUAAUAAAUAAAUUAUACAGUUGUCUAGGCUUAAAAUCAGCCAAGUUUUAAAAUCGUUACAGAUUAUCUAAAAUUUUGUUAAUAUUUAAAAUUAUUCCAAUAAACUUAUCAAAAAAAUUUGUCAAAUAAAAAAUCAAAAGUUAUAAUUAAGUUAUUAGUAUAAAAUGUUGUAAAAUUAAAAAAUCCUGGAUAAUAAAUUAAUAAAUUAUAUCGCUUUAAAAUUUACAUUAAGGAACUCGGCAAUUAUCCUUUCUGCCUGUUUAUCAAAAACAUGUCUAUAUGGAAAGAUUUAUAUAGUCUGGCCUGCCCACUGAUAUUUUUAAUUGAAGGGCCGCGGUAUUCUGACCGUGCGAAGGUAGCAUAAUAAUUAGUCUCCUAAUUAGAGGCUUGUAUGAAUGGUCGGACAAGAUAGGAACUGUCUCAAUAUAAAAAAUAAAAUUUAAUAUUUAAGUAAAAAAGCUUAAAUAAUUUAGAGGGACGAUAAGACCCUAUAAAGCUUUAUGGUAAUAUUUUUGUAUAUAAAAUAUUUCAUGUAACUUAUUAAAAAAUAAACACCAUUUUACUGGGGCGGUAAAAGUAUAUUUUUGAUUAACUGCUUUUGUUGUUAAAAACAGUUGUAGCUGAAUAAUAAAUUGAUCCAUUAUUAAUGAUCACAAGUACAAGUUACUUUAGGGAUAACAGCGUAAUUUUUCUUGAGAGUCCUUAUCGAAAGAAAAGUUUGCGACCUCGAUGUUGAAUUAAGGAAGCCUUAAGGUGCAGCAGUUUUAAAUAGGCAGAUCUGUUCGAUCUUUAAAUCCUUACAUGAUUUGAGUUCAGACCGGCGUAAGCCAGGUUGGUUUCUAUCUUCUAUAAAUUUAAUUGUUUACUUUAGUACGAAAGGAUUUAGUAAAUUGAAUAAUUCAUUAUUAAACUUGAAACUCAUUAAGU
This 1362-nucleotide ribosomal RNA is filed under the name Neogonodactylus oerstedii. Its description in RNAcentral is "16S ribosomal RNA". The stretch from base 906 to 1284 matches the Rfam family "Bacterial large subunit ribosomal RNA", at positions 2073 to 2647 of the family's 2925-position model. Lineage: Eukaryota; Metazoa; Arthropoda; Malacostraca; Stomatopoda; Gonodactylidae. The record is from RNAcentral.